Molecule: long non-coding RNA, 1815 nt
Filed under: Nicotiana benthamiana
Lineage: Eukaryota; Viridiplantae; Streptophyta; Magnoliopsida; Solanales; Solanaceae
Description: long non-coding RNA (NBEN_LNC008195)
Source: RNAcentral
UCGAAUACGUGUUUCGAAAGUUUUAGAAGAACUUAGUCUUGAACUCGAUGUAAUUUGAUGGUUUUCGUGUUAUUUCCGGUAUUUUGAUGAUUGGAACAAUUUUGAAUGUCUUUAUAGGAUGUGUUGGUGCUUUUUGUUGAGGUCCCGGAGGUCUCGGGGUGAUUUUGGAUGGCUAACGGGAGGUUUGAACUUGGAAAUAUGUUGCAGAAAUUCAGCAGCUGUUGCAGUCAGAAUUUUGCCUUCGCGAUCGCAUGCCGGAGGCCGCGUUCACGAAGAAGGAAGUUGGUCCCCUGAGAAAAUUUGCUUCGCAUUCGCGUUUGGCCUCUCGGGUUCGCGGAGGAUGAGUUUAAUGUGCGUCGCAUUUGCGGGGAGAUAUCCGCAUUCGCAUAGGAGGCUUUGGAGUUCCGUGUGUUUUAUUCAUCACGUUCGCGACAAAGGGCAUCACGUUCGCGUAGUUGAGGCUGAGCAAGGAUAACGUUCGCGGGUGGUCAUACACGUUCUCUAAGGGCAAUUUUGGACCAAGGAAAUUUUGAGCAUCGCGAACGCGAGAAGGUCCUCGCUCUCACAAAGAAGGAAAUUGUGUUGGGCAGAAGGAUUUUUAAAACAUUUUGUUCCGCGAGCCUAAGCUAUUUUCCACAUUGUUGAGCUUCUUGAGAGCUAUUUGGGAAAAAUUGAAGAGGGUUUCGAUGAGGAUUGAUUGGAGGUAAGUCCUCUGAACUAAAAACAUGAUUUAAUUAUGGAAUUUACCUUGAAAUUUAUGGAAACAUAGCAAAAAAGGGAAGAACUAGGGCUUGAAAAUUUGAGAUUUUAAAUUGGGAUUUGAUGGGUCAUUUGAGCUCAGAUUUGAGAGUGCUUGAUAUAUAUAAACUCCUGGCAAGAUAAGGAAACCAUUGAUGUAAAAAAUUUUGAGUUUUGAGGAGUGGGCCCGGGGCUCAGGUUUUGCCAAUUUCGGGAUUUUUGAUAUUUUUUGAUAGUUUUAUUCCCUUUGUAUAUUGUUACGUAUUCAUAAUGAUUUUUGUCUGAUUUGACACGCGAGGGGGCCAAUUUGAGAGGCAAAGGCAUAGCGAGCUACAGUUUUGGCUGGCUUGAGGAGAGUAAUGAUUGGAAAUGAUAUCCUGAGGGUUUGAAACCCCGAAUUUGCACAACGUGGUGCUAUGUUGAGAUGAGACACACGCUGCGCGAUGAGCGUGGGGUCCAUUGCAACUGGUGAUCGUGACUUGGUCCAUCCCGAUAUAUAUUAUUGCUAUAUUUUGGCUGAGACUUAUGCAUUAUCAUCAAGAUUUGAGCUAGUUUCCAUGUUUAGGACCUUGUGCCGACCUGUAGAAACUAUAGGGGUAUUUUUGACUGAUUUUCCUCACUUUAUUUGUUAAAAAUCAUAUUCUCAGUAAUGUUAUGACUUUUUAAACAAUAUGAACUGGUUUUUGAAAUGUUAAUUCUAAAUGAAAGAAAUACGUGGGCUGAGAUCCCUAUCUUAUAUUAUUGUGCCUGAGAGGCUGUGAUUAUAAUGACUGAGAGGGGUUGAGAACCCAACAGUGAGGAGGUUAUAUAUAUGUUAUGGAUCGGGCUGCACGUCGUAGCAAGUACUUAUCUGGAUCGGGUUGCACACCGCAAUAAAUGUGUGUGUGUGUGUAUAUAUAUAUAUAUAUAUAUAUAUAUAUAUAUAUAUAUAUAUUGCAUGCCGCAUCAAUAUAGCGCUUGGGUUAUAGGAGCCCCUCCGGAGUCUGCACACCCCCAGUGAGCACAAUUGACUAUUAUUAUGGGACUGAGAGGGGUUAUAACCCAACAGUGAGGAUGUUAUAUAUAUGUCAUGGAUCG